GUACGCUGUGGUUUACUGCGACGUAUAGUGGCGAACGGGUGAGUAAUGAAUAGGUAACGUACCCCGGGCACAGGGAUACCGCCGGGAGCUUCGGCUUCCUUUGCGAAAGUGGCGUUAAUACCUGAUGAUGUCUUCGGUCGGCAUCGGCUGGAGACCAAAGGAUGGGGACCUUCGGGCCUAUCGGUCUGGGAGCGGCCUAUUUCCUAUCAGCUUGUUGGUGGGGUAAAGGCCUACCAAGGCGACGACGGGUAGCGGGACUGAGAGGUUGGUCCGCCACAUCGGGACUGAGACACUGCCCGGACACCUACGGGUGGCUGCAGUAACGGAUAUUCCGCAAUGGGCGCAAGCCUGACGGAGCGACGCCGCGUGGAGGACGAAGUCCUUCGGGAUGUAAACUCCUUUUAGGGUUAAGAAAACAAGGGGUGCUAAUAUCACCCGGCGAUGAUCGAACCCAGAAAAAGCCUGGGCUAACUCCGUGCCAGCAGCCGCGGUAAUACGGAGCAGGCAAGCGUUGUUCGGAAUUACUGGGCUUAAAGCGCGUGUAGGCGGCCUGGCAAGUACCCUGUGAAAGCCCUCGGCUCAACCGAGGAAUUGCCGGGUAUACUGCUGGGCUUGAGGCGGGUAGGGGUGCCUGGAACUCUAGGUGGAGCGGUGAAAUGCGUAGAGAUCUAGAGGAACGCCUGUGGCGAAAGCGGGGCACUGGGCCCGACCUGACGCUGAGACGCGAAAGCGUAGGUAGCGAACGGGAUUAGAUACCCCGGUAGUCUACGCCGUAAACGAUGCGCACUAGGUUUGUAGGCUUCUGACAGUUUGCGGGCCGAAACAAAAGCAUUAAGUGCGCCGCCUGGGGAGUACGGCCGCAAGGCUAAAACUCAAAGGA
Molecule: ribosomal RNA, 880 nt
Filed under: uncultured bacterium
Lineage: Bacteria
Description: bacterial SSU rRNA
Rfam family: Bacterial small subunit ribosomal RNA
Source: RNAcentral